CCUACGGGUGGCAGCAGUGAGGAAUAUUGGUCAAUGGACUAGAGUCUGAACCAGCCAAGUAGCGUGAAGGAUGACUGCCCUAUGGGUUGUAAACUUCUUUUAUCUGGGAAUAAAACAGGGUAUGCAUACCCUCUUGUAUGUACCAUAUGAAUAAGUAUCGGCUAACUCCGUGCCAGCAGCCGCGGUAAUACGGAGGAUCCGAGGGUUAUCAGGAUUUAUUGGGGUUAAAGGGCGCGUAGGUCGAGUUGUAUGUCAGUUGUGAAAGUUUGCGGCUCAACCGUAAAAUUGCAGUUGACCCUGGCAUUCUUGAGUACAGUAGAGGUGGGCGGAAGUCGUGGUGUAGCGGUGAAAUGCUUAGAUAUCACGAAGAACUCCGAUUGCGAAGGCAGCUCACUGGACUGCAACUGACACUGAUGCUCGAAAGUGUGGGUAUCAAACAGGAUUAGAUACCCCAGUAGUC
Molecule: ribosomal RNA, 460 nt
Filed under: uncultured bacterium
Lineage: Bacteria
Description: partial 16S ribosomal RNA
Rfam family: Bacterial small subunit ribosomal RNA
Source: RNAcentral